Molecule: long non-coding RNA, 235 nt
Filed under: Durio zibethinus
Lineage: Eukaryota; Viridiplantae; Streptophyta; Magnoliopsida; Malvales; Malvaceae
Description: long non-coding RNA (DZIB_LNC000497)
Source: RNAcentral
UGGGUAAUAGACAGAUCAUGAUAACAACCUUAAACGUUAAAUCCCUUCAUUGAGUUAACAAGCUGAUGUCUUCCUUCCUGUCUUAACAACUUUUUUAGCAAGCAGUAUAUAUAUCAGGGAAUUAGGUAAUGGAAAAUGGCUGUUUAACAUUUCAGUUUUCACAUAAUUGUUGAUUAAUUCACAAUCCAAACAUUGGACAAUGUAGAACAGACAAGACAAAACAGUAGAGGAACCU